RNAcentral lists this ribosomal RNA (581 nucleotides) under uncultured bacterium. RNAcentral's name for it is "bacterial SSU rRNA". It matches the Rfam family "Bacterial small subunit ribosomal RNA", at positions 337 to 909 of the family's 1533-position model. The record is from RNAcentral.
UCCUACGGGAGGCAGCAGUAGGGAAUCUUCCGCAAUGGACGAAAGUCUGACGGAGCAACGCCGCGUGAGCGAUGAAGGUUUUCGGAUCGUAAAACUCUGUUGUUAGGGAAGAACAAGUUGGGUAGUAACUGACCCAACCUUGACGGUACCUAACCAGAAAGCCACGGCUAACUACGUGCCAGCAGCCGCGGUAAUACGUAGGUGGCAAGCGUUGUCCGGAAUUAUUGGGCGUAAAGGGCUCGCAGGUGGUUUCUUAAGUCUGAUGUGAAAGCCCACGGCUCAACCGUGGAGGGUCAUUGGAAACUGGGAGACUUGAGUGCAGAAGAGGAAAGUGGAAUUCCAUGCGUAGCGGUGAAAUGCGUAGAGAUAUGGAGGAACACCAGUGGCGAAGGCGACUUUCUGGUCUGUAACUGACACUGAGGCGCGAAAGCGUGGGGAGCAAACAGGAUUAGAUACCCUGGUAGUCCACGCCGUAAACGAUGAGUGCUAAGUGUUAGAGGGUUUCCGCCCUUUAGUGCUGAAGUUAACGCAUUAAGCACUCCGCCUGGGGAGUACGGCCGCAAGGCUGAAACUCAAAGGAA